RNAcentral lists this long non-coding RNA (442 nucleotides) under Numida meleagris (helmeted guineafowl). RNAcentral's name for it is "lncRNA (ENSNMEG00000004715.1)". Lineage: Eukaryota; Metazoa; Chordata; Aves; Galliformes; Numididae. The record is from RNAcentral.
GAGCAAGUUUUUGAUGUAAUAGGCAGAGGAAUGAGGACAGUCUUGUGGGAGGCCAGGCUCACUAAUUCUGUCACUCAUGGGACAACUUGAUAUUUUAAUUUUGAUCAUGACUAAUGUCUGUUUCUCUUCUUUUUUUUUGUAGUUAAGUCUCAAGGAAAAGAAAAGUGAUUGCAAAAUGGGAAUGGAAACCUUGGUCCAUCUGGUGUUUGUUUGAGUGCUGUCAGGCAGAAAACAUGCCUUCCUCAUCUCUGCUGUUUAUUUUGAAGAGGCUUACAGGUUGACACGUUGAGUUUUGGGCAGUCUUCACUGAAUGUUGCAUAUGUGCAUUAAUGAAGAAGUCAUCUUUAAUGAAGUAUUUGCAUUUUUUCCUUGCUGAAUUCUCCAUACAAGGACUGGAUUGAGUGAGUGUAAUAGCAUAUCCUGAAGAUAUCUCACCUUUUAA